CAACAGGGAUUCCCCUAGUAACGGCGAGUGAAGCGGGAACAGCUCAAAUUUGAAAUCUGGCCCUCGGGUCCGAGUUGUAAUUUGUAGAGGAUGCUUUUGGUGCGGUGCCUUCCGAGUUCCCUGGAACGGGACGCCUUAGAGGGUGAGAGCCCCGUACGGUUGGACGCCUAGCCUCUGUAAAGCUCCUUCGACGAGUCGAGUAGUUUGGGAAUGCUGCUCUAAAUGGGAGGUAUAUUUCUUCUAAAGCUAAAUACUGGCCAGAGACCGAUAGCGCACAAGUAGAGUGAUCGAAAGAUGAAAAGCACUUUGAAAAGAGGGUUAAAUAGCACGUGAAAUUGUUGAAAGGGAAGCGUUUAUCACCAGACUUUUUCUGGGGGGAUCAUCCGGUGUUCUCACCGGUGCACUUCCCCCAGUGGAGGCCAGCAUCGGUUUUCGGAGGGGGAUAAAAGCUUCGGGAAUGUGACUCCCUCGGGAGUGUUAUAGCCCGUUGCAUAAUACCCUUCUGGGGACCGAGGUUCGCGCAUCUGCAAGGAUGCUGGCAUAAUGGUGAUCAACGACCCGUCUUGAAACACGGACCAAGGAGUCGAACAUUUAUGCGAGUGUUUGGGUGUCAAACCCUCACGCGUAAUGAAAGUGAACGGAGGUGAGAGCCCUUACGGGUGCAUCAUCGACCGAUCCUGAUGUCUUCGGAUGGAUUUGAGUAAGAGCAUAACUGUUCGGACCCGAAAGAUGGUGAACUAUGCGUGGAUAGGGUGAAGCCAGGAGAAAUCCUGGUGGAGGCUCGCAGCGGUUCUGACGUGCAAAUCGAUCGUCAAAUCUGCGCAUGGGGGCGAAAGACUAAUCGAACCAUC
Molecule: ribosomal RNA, 851 nt
Filed under: Nigrospora sp.
Lineage: Eukaryota; Fungi; Ascomycota; Sordariomycetes; Amphisphaeriales; Apiosporaceae
Description: eukaryotic LSU rRNA
Rfam family: Eukaryotic large subunit ribosomal RNA
Source: RNAcentral